This 376-nucleotide long non-coding RNA is filed under the name Brassica napus (rape). RNAcentral's name for it is "long non-coding RNA (BNAP_LNC004344)". The record is from RNAcentral. Lineage: Eukaryota; Viridiplantae; Streptophyta; Magnoliopsida; Brassicales; Brassicaceae.
AGGAUUUCUAGAAACAAGCGGAAGCUAAUUUAGUUUAACCUAGUGAACAUGUCAAACCCGUGCGUAACGCUCCCGGGAAGGAACGUUGAUCGAUAACUCAUUAGUUGCAUCGAUCGACGGGCUGAAAGGUGUAUCGAUCGACACCCUGUUGUUGGAAUCGAUCGACAUUUUCUCAGGACCAACAAGCGACAGUUAAGGUCCUAGAUCCGGUAAUAGAUAGUCUAAAUAUACGGAAGUUGAUCGACUAUUCUUAUUUGUUUGAGUUCUAGAAUAUCCAUAAAUGCUUAGUAGUCUAUGUCUUUAUAAUCCUGAUUGUCUGAAUAGAAACCCUAAGUCUAACGUUUCCCAUAUAUGUCUUAAAACCCAAUCAAUCAAU